RNAcentral lists this ribosomal RNA (720 nucleotides) under uncultured bacterium. RNAcentral's name for it is "bacterial SSU rRNA". It matches the Rfam family "Bacterial small subunit ribosomal RNA", at positions 132 to 853 of the family's 1533-position model. The record is from RNAcentral.
AUCACAGGGGGAUAGCCUUUGGAAACAGGGAUUAAUACCGCAUAAAGCAGGGGCUCCGCAUGGAGAUAUUGCUAAAGAUUUAUCGGUGAUAGAUGGGCAUGCGUCUGAUUAGUUAGAUGGUAGGGUAACGGCCUACCAUGACGAUGAUCAGUAGGGGGCGUCAGAGCGUGGUCCCCCACACUGGCACUGAGAUACGGGCCAGACUCCUACGGGAGGCAGCAGUAGGGAAUAUUGGGCAAUGGAUGCAAGUCUGACCCAGCCAUGCCGCGUGAAGGAAGAAGGUCCUCUGGAUUGUAAACUUCUUUUAUCGGGGAAGAAGAAACGCCUUGCGAGGUGAAGUGACGGUACCCGAUGAAUAAGCCACGGCUAACUACGUGCCAGCAGCCGCGGUAAUACGUAGGUGGCAAGCGUUGUCCGGAUUUAUUGGGUUUAAAGGGUGCGUAGGUGGUUUAAUAAGUCAGUGGUGAAAGCUGGUUGCUCAACAAUCAAGUUGCCAUUGAUACUGUUAGACUUGAGAGAAGUGGAGGCUGGUGGAAUGGAUGGUGUAGCGGUGAAAUGCAUAGAUAUCAUCCAGAACGUCAAUUGCGAAGGCAGCUGGCUGUACUUUUUCUGACACUGAGGCACGAAAGUGUGGGGAUCAAACAGGAUUAGAUACCCUGGUAGUCCACACUGUAAACGAUGCGAACUAGCUUUUUGGCUUUAGAGUUGAGAGGCUAAGGG